This 302-nucleotide signal recognition particle RNA is filed under the name Mus musculus (house mouse). It matches the Rfam family "Metazoan signal recognition particle RNA". Rfam says of the family: The signal recognition particle (SRP) is a universally conserved ribonucleoprotein. Lineage: Eukaryota; Metazoa; Chordata; Mammalia; Rodentia; Muridae. The record is from RNAcentral.
GCCGGGCGCGGUGGCGCACGCCUGUAGUCCCAGCUACUCGGGAGGCUGAGACAGGAGGAUCGCUUGAGUCCAGGAGUUCUGGGCUGUAGUGCGCUAUGCCGAUCGGGUGUCCGCACUAAGUUCGGCAUCAAUAUGGUGACCUCCCGGGAGCGGGGGACCACCAGGUUGCCUAAGGAGGGGUGAACCGGCCCAGGUCGGAAACGGAGCAGGUCAAAACUCCCGUGCUGAUCAGUAGUGGGAUCGCGCCUGUGAAUAGCCACUGCACUCCAGCCUGGGCAACAUAGCGAGACCCCGUCUCUUUU